GCAGUCGACGCUGAAGCCUGGUGCUUGCACCGGGUGGAUGAGUGGCGAACGGGUGAGUAACACGUGAGUAACCUGCCCCUGACUUCGGGAUAAGCCCGGGAAACUGGGUCUAAUACCGGAUACGACUGCCGGACGCAUGUCUGGUGGUGGAAAGUUUUUUCGGUUGGGGAUGGGCUCGCGGCCUAUCAGUUUGUUGGUGAGGUAAUGGCUCACCAAGACGACGACGGGUAGCCGGCCUGAGAGGGCGACCGGCCACACUGGGACUGAGACACGGCCCAGACUCCUACGGGAGGCAGCAGUGGGGAAUAUUGCACAAUGGGGGAAACCCUGAUGCAGCGACGCAGCGUGCGGGAUGACGGCCUUCGGGUUGUAAACCGCUUUCAGCAGGGAAGAAGCGCAAGUGACGGUACCUGCAGAAGAAGUACCGGCUAACUACGUGCCAGCAGCCGCGGUAAUACGUAGGGUACGAGCGUUGUCCGGAAUUAUUGGGCGUAAAGAGCUCGUAGGUGGUUGGUCACGUCUGCUGUGGAAACGCAACGCUUAACGUUGCGCGUGCAGUGGGUACGGGCUGACUAGAGUGCAGUAGGGGAGUCUGGAAUUCCUGGUGUAGCGGUGAAAUGCGCAGAUAUCAGGAGGAACACCGGUGGCGAAGGCGGGACUCUGGGCUGUAACUGACACUGAGGAGCGAAAGCAUGGGGAGCGAACAGGAUUAGAUACCCUGGUAGUCCAUGCCGUAAACGUUGGGCACUAGGUGUGGGGGGCAUUCCACGUUCUCCGCGCCGUAGCUAACGCAUUAAGUGCCCCGCCUGGGGAGUACGGUCGCAAGGCUAAAACUCAAAGGAAUUGACGGGGGCCCGCACAAGCGGCGGAGCAUGCGGAUUAAUUCGAUGCAACGCGAAGAACCUUACCAAGGCUUGACAUACACCGGACCGUCCUGGAAACAGGUCCUCUUCUUUGAAGCUGGUGUACAGGUGGUUGCAUGGUUGUCGUCAGCUCGUGUCGUGAGAUGGUGGGGUUAAGUCCCGCAACGAGCGCAACCCUCGUUCUAUGUUGCCAGCAUGUGAAUGGUGGGAACUCAUAGG
RNAcentral lists this ribosomal RNA (1082 nucleotides) under uncultured bacterium. RNAcentral's name for it is "bacterial SSU rRNA". It matches the Rfam family "Bacterial small subunit ribosomal RNA", at positions 57 to 1145 of the family's 1533-position model. The record is from RNAcentral.